Molecule: unclassified non-coding RNA, 334 nt
Filed under: soil metagenome
Description: partial contains 5.8S ribosomal RNA, internal transcribed spacer 2, and large subunit ribosomal RNA
Rfam family: 5.8S ribosomal RNA (bases 1-120)
Source: RNAcentral
GAUGAAGAACGCAGCGAAAUGCGAUAAGUAAUGUGAAUUGCAGAAUUCAGUGAAUCAUCGAAUCUUUGAACGCACAUUGCGCCCGCCAGUAUUCUGGCGAGCAUGCCUGUUCGAGCAUCAUUUCAACCAUCAAGCCCCAGGCUUGUGUUGGAGCCCUGCGGCUGCCGCAGCCUCCCAAAACCAGUGGCGGGCUCGCUAUCACACCGAGUGCAGUAGUUUACUCUUCGCUCAGGGCGUGUGGCGGGUGCUAGCCGUGAAACCCCCAACUUCUCAAGGUUGACCUCGGAUCAGGUAGGAAUACCCGCUGAACUUAAGCAUAUCAAUAAGCGGAGGA